Molecule: long non-coding RNA, 3369 nt
Organism: Podarcis muralis (Common wall lizard)
Lineage: Eukaryota; Metazoa; Chordata; Lepidosauria; Squamata; Lacertidae
Source: RefSeq, a predicted model, not a curated record
CUGCCAUGCACCGGGUCAACGCUUUAAUGGAACUAUUCACCACCACUACCACCCCAAGAUCCCUUUCCCAGGAUCAGUUGAGAGAGAGAGAGACCAAGCCAAGAGAAAUACAUGCAAUGGCUUGGAGAUCAAUGAAGACCUUUUCGUCUCACCAUGCAAGAUUGCUCUGAGCUGCGGCCUGAGGAAUGUGCUGGGCUCCUAGCCAGCGGCUGGGAUUCAGAGACCUGCACAGGGGAAGCAGCAGGAGAGGGCACGAGAUCCUCAGAAAGGUCAGAGAAGAAGGCAGCAUCCCUCUUACCCUUUGCUUGAAGUAGUCCCUCUCCUCUAGCGUUAAUGUGUCUGCUUUGGCGAUGACAGGGACAAUGUUGACCACUUUGCUCAGGCGCCUCAUGAAUUCAAUGUCCAGCGGCCGGAGGCUAAAAGCAAAAUAAAAGGACUUCUUAAAACGAAAAGGAGACCAAGGAUGCUGAGACAUAAGACAUUCCACUUCCCUUCCCAACUGACGGUAGGCCUUUCUAGAAGCACUGAAAUGCCACAAGGAAGCAACUCACUCUGUGCAAUACUCAGGAGGCCAACAGCUGAUCUAGGGUGUGAAGUAGAGGUGGGUGAAGGCUCUGGUCCUCCUGCCCCACCAGCCAGGUAUCCUCUUGCCUCUAACAUGACUAGGUUCUCAAUAGGACAACAGUAACCAAAUGGGGGCUGGAACCACUAUUUGGUCACUGUAAGUUGAUCACUUAGGCUGCUGGUUAUCAAGCAGGCCUUCAUGACCAGGUGAGCCAGACAGUGCCUGUCUGUGAGGAGUACAUUGCAGGGUGGUUUUCCUGGAAGCAUUUGUGGCAAUUGCCACCAACAGAUAUAUGAUGAUUGCAACAGACAAAGAGCAAGUGAGAGCAAACUACACCUGAACACAUUUAAACAUUUUAGACAUAGACAUUGUUGCUAGAUGGACUAGUUGUCCCAGACCAAGACUACAUUGAGGACAAAGGGUUAAAGCCCCUGCCCCCCCCAGUCCCAAUUGGACCCCUCACACCAGCUGUUUACUUUUUUUAAAAAAAAGUGUGUUUUCGCUAAUUUGGCCCUAAAGACAGAUUACAUUUCUCUCCACCUUAUAUUUAGCUAUAAAUCCUGCUAGGGUAUGCACGAUGGAUGUUUCUUGGCCUGUGGAGUCACAGGUUCAAGUCAUUCUCUCAGCCCAGCCUACUCUACAGGGUUACUAAGAGGAAAAAACAGGAUUAACCCCUUUGUAUGCCACUCCAAGUGGCAAGAAUAAAUGCGAUGGACAAACAAACUCUGAGCAUUAUGGGUUAGGAAUUUGCUACAUGCCACAUUCAUUUGCAGAAAAAUAUGGAAGUGGAUUGUUAGCUUUAAUCAUUGCUACAUGGGACAAAUAUGUUGUUUUCUUUGUCUUAUGUGCACCUGCACCACAGGCACAUCUGUCACUUAUGAUUGACGAUACACUGCAUAAGAGCUUUUGGGGGUGCGGGGUGGUCUAUGGGAGUGGCAAUCUAAAUAGGAAAAAUCAACAUGUGUGAAGCACCCUCACUGUGCAGGAAUCAGCAAAAACAGAAGGCCCAAGAAUUUCAGCUCCUAGAAGCCUUCCUAAUUAGGGAUUGUUUUUGCCAACGAACACAAUGCCAAAUGCUUAGCAGACCAAAAGUGCACGCACACACACACACCACCAGCUUUCCAAAAUAUCUUGGCUGGGUCUGCCUGUUUACAGGGAGUAGCCAUUUCAUACCAAUGACCCACAAAAAGAAAGUGUGCUUUGUUUUUUGCAUUAAUCCUGAAAGCAAGUUAAGCAGCUUCAUGGCGCCACAGCACUAUUACUCUGCUCUGCACCCAGCAAGGUAGUCAGGACUGAAUUAAACCUGAGUUUGCAUCAACACUGGUCUAGCUAGGCAAAGGGGCAAAUCCUGGCUGCAGGGGCUAUAAGCUGUUUCCUCUACUAGUCCUACCAGUUUGCCUCCUGGCUGGGGGGGGGGGCAGAUCCAUUCAACCGCCCUCCUCCAGAAAAAAAAAAGAGGAACAUGAGAGUUUUGAUUGGAUUUUUAUUUUUAUCUUUUUGGCCUGCAAGGCUUCUGCACGUGGCCUGGCACACUUUGCCAAGGGAGGGAAAAGCCGCUAGCAGAAGAACAGAGCCUGUUAGAAUGAAGAGCUCAAGGAGACGAUGACAGUACUGAACAUCUUCUACAUGCACACACACACACGGAUGACAAGCAGAGAAGCCAGAGAAUUGUGAGCGCCUGGAAAAGAGUGCUCCACAGUAGAGUUGGGUAGGUGAGUAUGAAGGUCCCAGUGUCAGCCUGCCACAUGAGGGCAAGUGUGGGAUACCAGAGAGGAGGCUGCUUGCUGAGGAGAUGCACCCAAUUUAGAGACCUCGGGCCAUUUAAAAUGGGCCUUAGGUACCUGAAAGGAUUCUGCUGGUUGUUUCAUCACAGGAUUUUGUAUUUUAUGCUAAAUGUCACAGUGCACCCUGAGUAUUCCGAGGGUGAAAGGUGGGUUGUAAAUCUUCUAAAUAAGUACUGCUAGUAUUUGUUUUUAACCUCAUCACCAUGAUGAAAAAGACUCACAAUGCAUCCUUUUAUUUAUGCAUGUUAUGUAGCAGGAAAACUCAGGGGAUGUGUGAGUGCGAACACAGAAGGUAGAACAGUAGAGUGUUCUGCAGGGUUGGGCAGGGUCUACCAAAGCUAUUAUCUUCCAAGCAAGUGGUGCUGCCACUUGUACAGGCCACUCUCUCAUAAAAAUGGUGCAGAAGCAGCUAAGUUGUUAACUAUGAGUGGGGUUCACCCAACACACCCCAUAAGCAGAAGCCCUGUGCAAAGCUUUGACUUAACACACUGGGGGCUUUCCCCUCUCUUUUUUCUCUUUGCAUGCCCCCCAAAUGCCUUGGGAGGUCAGGAAAACCCACAGAAUAGUGCACAGGGGAUCACUUCAUCAAGCAAGCUGACACACAUGUGCAGAAGGAACAGUCCACACAUCAUGGCAUUGAAUUCUCCCUAUUGUGACUGUAUUCAGCAUGACUUAGUCCUGUAUUUAAAAGCAGGCAGUGUCUGAAAACAUGUCGCACCAUCCACCAAAAGGCACAACACAAGCUGUCCUCCAGACAUAGAAUCAAGCCCUUUACCACAUAGUGAAGUUAUGAGCACAGAGGAUGAUAAGAAGUUCCUGUACAUCAUGGUACUGUUUCUCAAAUCAGCAUCCACAUCAGGAAAUCACAGAGUCAACUCAGCCUCUACAGUCUGACGUGGAGCUUGUAACACAAACACAUGGUGGCCUAGUUUGGAUGACACACUUAAGUCAGCAGAUGGUUAGGUUCUCUAACCAUCAAGUAGUAUAUAAAUUUUGUUAAAUAAAUAAAUAAAAACCUGA